Mesocricetus auratus (golden hamster) is the source of this 543-nucleotide long non-coding RNA. RefSeq lists it as uncharacterized. The record is from RefSeq and is a predicted model, not a curated record. The transcript has 3 exons. NCBI's taxonomy places the organism in Eukaryota, Metazoa, Chordata, Mammalia, Rodentia, Cricetidae.
GGAUAUCAAGGAAGGGAAUGUGUGCACAAUCUCAUUUGAUGAGCAGAGACAGAGUGGUGAAGACCAGGAGCUGAGCACUAAGAAACACAGUUUCCCUUAGACAGGAGGCACGUCCAUGGCCCCAAUCCUGCUACAUCCUGUGUGACAAGGGUUGACACUGCCAAUGCCCCCCAUGAGUGAGUUUGGGAGCGGACCCCACCCAGGCAAGCUUUCAGAUGGGCCAGAAGCCCCAGCCUGAUGUGAGAUCACAGUCUAGAGCCUCCAGCAAAGCACCUGGAUUCCUGCCAGAGGCACCAGGAGAGAAUGAAUUUGCUGUUUUAAGCCCCUACAUUUGAAGGCAAUCUGCCUCCCACACUAGAAAACACAGCCAGUGGACCUCAGAGAGCCUGUCUCCACUUCCCCUGUUCUGGGAUUACAAGUGUGCCCACAGCAGUUAGAAGAGGACAUCGGAUUCCCUGUGACUGGAGUUACAGAUGGUUGUGAAGCCACCAUGUGGGUGAUGGAAAUCCAACCCUGGUUCCCUACAAAAUCAGCAAGUGCUCU